UUUAUGGAGAGUUUGAUCCUGGCUCAGGAUGAACGCUGGCGUCGUGCCUAAUACAUGCAAGUCGAGCGAACGGACGAGAAGCUUGCUUCUCUGAUGUUAGCGGCGGACGGGUGAGUAACACGUGGAUAACCUACCUAUAAGACUGGGAUAACUUCGGGAAACCGGAGCUAAUACCGGAUAAUAUUUUGAACCGCAUG
Molecule: ribosomal RNA, 197 nt
Filed under: Staphylococcus aureus
Lineage: Bacteria; Bacillati; Bacillota; Bacilli; Caryophanales; Staphylococcaceae
Description: partial 16S ribosomal RNA
Rfam family: Bacterial small subunit ribosomal RNA
Source: RNAcentral